CCUCAUUGGUUGUAAAAGGUCAGGACUUGCCAUCUUAAUGGUAAAGUAUGAAUACUUAUUGUUUCAUGGAGAGUUGCCAUCAUGUAUUAACAUACAUUUCUCAUUGGUUGUAGUUAUGUUGCAGUGGAGAUAUGUGGGCUGCUAUUGAUGGUGUAUCAAAGGCUUCUCAAGGUAGUGAAUAUUGGCAAUCAGUCCCAGUUUUGCAUGUCUGCACAGUACUGUACGAUGAAGCAUUACCUACAUUUCUACCUUUUACACAGUACUGUACGAUGAAGCAUUGCCUGCUAUUUUACAGGUUAUGAUUGAAGAUAUUGGGAAGCAGAUUAAGUAACUAUAAACCUACAAGGUGCAGGACAUUGAUUUACUUGACUAGAAUUGUUGAACUGUAAUUUGUUAUACUUUAUAAAUUUGUUUGCAUAUGGUGUAUUUUGAUUCAGUUAAUAUUGCAUUUGGUGGUGUAUUUUGAGGGG
Molecule: long non-coding RNA, 470 nt
Organism: Rosa chinensis
Lineage: Eukaryota; Viridiplantae; Streptophyta; Magnoliopsida; Rosales; Rosaceae
Exons: 3
Source: RefSeq, a predicted model, not a curated record